UUGCUGACACCUCUGGCAUUAA
This 22-nucleotide microRNA is filed under the name Xenopus laevis (African clawed frog). Its description in RNAcentral is "Xla-Mir-12486-P1_3p (mature (guide))". RNAcentral also lists the same sequence under 1 other name. Lineage: Eukaryota; Metazoa; Chordata; Amphibia; Anura; Pipidae. The record is from RNAcentral.